AAUCACUGUAAAAUAACAGCUGCCUGAGGUCUGAUGAGGAUAGAUCGUUUUAAUGUUUUGGUCUGAUCACACCUAGACUGGCCCUGAUAAGUUCUAAUUUCCUGAAAGUAAUCUCAAAGUCACUUUCCGGAACUUGGAGUUAAUCAGCAAGCUAGCUAGUUAGCUGGUUGGUUAGUUAGUUAGCUAACUCGCUAACAGAUAUUCAGCCCAAACUGAUAAAAUGCGCAAAAUAUUUUAUAAGAGUGCAUAGCCUUGAUUUAUUAAUUUGUUGGAGCAAUUUGUUGAUUUAAUUUGAAUGUUCUGUCUUUAAAAUGAAUGUUAGCUGGAUUUAACAAUAACAGUCCACAUCUAUACAGUUGUGGGGAUUUUUUUAAUUUUUAAAACAAUCCUUUUCAGGUGAACUUUGUUUUGUUUUGUUUUUUUCUGUUUAAUUCAAAUCAGAACUCUGGUUUGGACAUUUGAAAAGUGAAUGAUUUUUUAAUUGUGUGAAGUUGAUUUAUGUGGAUUUCGACAUAAAUACGUCGCACACAGUGAUGCUGGAAAAUAAUUUCUCUACAUUUUCAGUGCCAGGACAUGACGCUGUUGAAUCAUGUUGAACAGAAGGACAGACGGUCCAUGUUCUUACCGUCAGUAGGUGGCAGCACAGCCUCACUGUUUCAGCGCUGAGUGGAUGCUGGGAUUCCAGUAACAUUCAGAAGGAGAGCAGCAUUUGAACACAGCCCACUUUGAAACUUUCCCAGCUCAACCGCUUUCCUCAGAGUCAGAGAGUGAUGUUUGAGUACACACUCAUGAACUGCCGUGAGAUUUGCUCUGACAAUGAUCCUCCUACUUUAUAUUAGCUGUUGCUUACUUUCCCUUCCAGGUUCUUCGCUCGGCGACCGAGUCGUUCAGCUUCCGGCAAACAUCCUUAGAAACUCUGGAGAAGCUUCUGUGAUAACAUGUUCACAUCAAGUUCCCAACUAUGAUAAGAUCCUCUGGUAUAAACAAACCGAGGACCACCAGAUGCAGUACCUGGGGUACAUGAACGUGAACGACGGCUAUCCGGAAACUGGAGUGAAAGCGAAGAUAGACGGAGGAGCAACUGAAGGGAAAACCUGCAGCUUAACGAUGGAGGGAGUCGACAUGAGCAGCAGCGGCGUUUAUUUCUGUGCUGCUAGUCGGCACAGUGCUGCAUGUCUCUGCUGCUCAGCACAAAAACCUCCAAAACAGCAGAUUUCCUUCAUCUGAGGCCAGCAGCUGUAAGAUCACUGCACC
This is a non-coding RNA of Gambusia affinis (western mosquitofish), 1254 nucleotides long. Lineage: Eukaryota; Metazoa; Chordata; Actinopteri; Cyprinodontiformes; Poeciliidae. The record is from the annotation of a RefSeq genome assembly.